UGAGGAAUAUUGGUCAAUGGACGCAAGUCUGAACCAGCCAAGUAGCGUGCAGGAUGACGGCCCUAUGGGUUGUAAACUGCUUUUAUAUGGGGAUAAAGUGGGGAACGUGUUCCCUUUUGCAGGUACCAUAUGAAUAAGGACCGGCUAAUUCCGUGCCAGCAGCCGCGGUAAUACGGAAGGUUCGGGCGUUAUCCGGAUUUAUUGGGUUUAAAGGGAGCGUAAGCCGUUUGGUAAGCGUGUUGUGAAAUGUAGGAGCUCAACUUCUAGAUUGCAGCGCGAACUGUCAGACUUGAGUGCGCACAACGUAGGCGGAAUUCAUGGUGUAGCGGUGAAAUGCUUAGAUAUCAUGAAGAACACCGAUUGCGAAGGCAGCUUACGGGAGCGCAACUGACGCUGAAGCUCGAAGGUGCGAGUAUCGAACAGG
Molecule: ribosomal RNA, 424 nt
Filed under: Verrucomicrobiota bacterium
Lineage: Bacteria; Pseudomonadati; Verrucomicrobiota
Description: Verrucomicrobia bacterium partial 16S ribosomal RNA
Rfam family: Bacterial small subunit ribosomal RNA
Source: RNAcentral